RNAcentral lists this ribosomal RNA (412 nucleotides) under uncultured bacterium. RNAcentral's name for it is "partial 16S ribosomal RNA". The record is from RNAcentral.
CGCGGCACCCUACACUGGUGACUUACGUUGUUACCACGCGGGGGACUCGCACACGACCCUCGGCGCCCUGACACGACGGACGCCUGCGGCACGACUUACGCUACGUUGGUGACGGUACACUGGCUCACCCACACGGCUUCGACUCUGUACGCUGGUCUGACGACGGACCGGCCACGCCACCACCUGGCACCUGACCACCACCGGGGCCCGGACCUCCUACCGGGACGGGCACGGCACGUUGGGGACACUUUUGGGCCACUGGGCGACACACGGCCUGACCCCACGGCACACCGCCGCGUGACCGGACGGGACACACUCCUUCGGGACCUGGUACACACCCUUCACCACACGCACACGGGGGACACGGACGACGGCUUGUUGGGCUUGACACUUACACUUCCCACCACGUUGG